Armigeres subalbatus is the source of this 893-nucleotide long non-coding RNA. RefSeq lists it as uncharacterized. NCBI's taxonomy places the organism in Eukaryota, Metazoa, Arthropoda, Insecta, Diptera, Culicidae. The record is from RefSeq and is a predicted model, not a curated record. The transcript is spliced from 2 exons.
UUCUUGGAUGAGGAACCAACCGACAAGCACAUCUGGCGGCGGCGGCUUCAUCGAAACUUUCCGAUCGGCGAUUCCCCCUUUUCACCACGGCGACAAAGUAUAGGAAAAGGGGCGCAAUUAUCAUGGGCCGUUAUAGCGCUGAAGCGGACAAAGAAGACGACGACGACAACCAGGAUCCCUAACGUCAGACGUCAGAUGUGUUUGGUUUUCGUCCAGCUGUCACGCGUCGUCGUCGUCGUUAUCGUGUCCUUAUGGGUGUCCCAUCACCCUUGACGAAAAUCGACCUCUACCGCGACAGCAGCGGCAGCAUAUCUCACACCACACGAAACAGAAACGGUGAAAACUUAAUACAUCGACGCAGACGCGCAGCAGUUCCUGCACGAAGUUAGAGGGAAUUUGUGGCAUGGUCUGGGUCGGCUUUCCCGUUCGAUGCACGAUAGAUGGAAGUGUCCUGAGUUGGGAGAUGUGAUAAAUUUGGUUUAUAUUAUGUUCAUUUGAUUCGGAAAAUGAUUUUGAUGAGCUUACUGUAGAAGUUAGGAUGAAUAUCAAGUAGAAAUUUGGAUAAAUUGUUCGUGAAGUUUCUCCCGUACAAAUGUAAAACAUUUUUCAUGAAAAAUCUGAAUAAAUUCCGUAAUAAUUGAAAAGAUUUUUUUGGAAAAUAUUUCUGACAUUUUAUGAAUAUCGUUUGGUCAAAUUAUAUUUCGUCGAAAAGACGUUUAUUCGAAUAGACAUUUGGUCGAGAGAGAAAGAGAGAGAAAUAUGAAAUGUGGAACUGCUGAGGAGUUCUGGAAGAUUUUUUUUUGUUAAAAUUUAGGCAAUUUACGUUAGGGUUAUGUCAUUACAAAAGCAAAGCUCUUCAUGCAACGUCUAUGAGCAUUGAAGCAAGGUAAUGU